RNAcentral lists this ribosomal RNA (253 nucleotides) under uncultured bacterium. Its description in RNAcentral is "partial 16S ribosomal RNA". It matches the Rfam family "Bacterial small subunit ribosomal RNA", at positions 524 to 776 of the family's 1533-position model. The record is from RNAcentral.
UACAGAGGCCUCGAGCGUUAGGCGGAAUCACUGGGCUUAAAGCGUGUGUAGGCGGAUCGUUAAGUACCUUGUGAAAUCCCACGGCUUAACCGUGGAACUGCUUGGUAUACUGGCGAUCUUGUGCCACCUAGGGGCGAGCGGAACAGAUGGUGGAGCGGUGAAAUGCGUAGAUAUCAAGUGGAACACCAGUGGCGAAGGCGAGUCCCUGGACAACUCCUGACACUGAGGCACGAAAGCUAGGGGAGCAAACAGG